Molecule: ribosomal RNA, 494 nt
Filed under: uncultured bacterium
Lineage: Bacteria
Description: bacterial SSU rRNA
Rfam family: Bacterial small subunit ribosomal RNA
Source: RNAcentral
CAUGCAAGUCGAACGGAAGUCGUAUAAAUGAGUCUGAUUGAAAGAUUAUCCGGAUUGAUGAUGAUUUAUAACAAUAGGCUUUAGUGCGGACUGGUGAGUAACGCGUGAGCAACCUGCCUAUCAGAGGGGAAUAACAGUGAGAAAUCAUUAGCUAAUACCGCAUAUGCCAUAGUUAUCGCAUGAUAAUAGUGGGAAAGGAGCAAUCCGCUGAUAGAUGGGCUCGCGUCUGAUUAGGAUAGUUGGUGGGGUAAUGGCCUACCAAGUCAACGAUCAGUAGCCGGACUGAGAGGUUGAACGGCCACAUUGGGACUGAGACACGGCCCAGACUCCUACGGGAGGCAGCAGUGGGGAAUAUUGGGCAAUGGGCGAAAGCCCUGACCCAGCAACGCCGCGUGAAGGAUGACGGUCUUCGGAUUGUAAACUUCUUUAAUUGGGGAAGAACAAAAUGACCUACCCAAAGAAUAAGUCACGGCUAACUACGUGCCAGCCGCAGC